AACUCGGUGGUGGCCACUGCGCAGACCAGACUUCGCUCGUUUUCGUGCGCCUCGCUCCGCUUUUCCUCCGCAACCAUGUCUGACAAACCCGAUAUGGCUGAGAUCGAGAAAUUCGGUAAGUCGAAACUGAAGAAGACAGAGACGCAAGAGAAAAAUCCACUGCCUUCCAAAGAAACGAUUGAACAGGAGAAGCAAGCAGGCGAAUCGUAAUGAGGCGUGCGCCGCCAAUAUGCACUGUACAUUCCACAAGCAUUGCCUUCUUAUUUUACUUCUUUUAGCUGUUUAACUUUGUAAGAUGCAAAGAGGUUGGAUCAAGUUUAAAUGACUGUGCUGCCCCUUUCACAUCAAAGAACUACUGACAACGAAGGCCGCGCCUGCCUCUCCCAUCUGUCUAUCUGGCUGGCAGGGAAGGAAAGAACUUGCAUGUUGGUGAAGGAAGAAGAAGUGG
Molecule: RNA transcript, 448 nt
Organism: Mandrillus leucophaeus (drill)
Lineage: Eukaryota; Metazoa; Chordata; Mammalia; Primates; Cercopithecidae
Gene name: thymosin beta-4 pseudogene
Exons: 2
Source: RefSeq, a predicted model, not a curated record